AGUGAACGCUGGCGGUAGGCCUAACACAUGCAAGUCGAACGGCAGCACAGUAAGAGCUUGCUCUUACGGGUGGCGAGUGGCGGACGGGUGAGGAAUACAUCGGAAUCUACUUUUUCGUGGGGGAUAACGUAGGGAAACUUACGCUAAUACCGCAUACGACCUACGGGUGAAAGCAGGGGAUCUACGGACCUUGCGCGAUUGAAUGAGCCGAUGUCGGAUUAGCUAGUUGGCGGGGUAAAGGCCCACCAAGGCGACGAUCCGUAGCUGGUCUGAGAGGAUGAUCAGCCACACUGGAACUGAGACACGGUCCAGACUCCUACGGGAGGCAGCAGCGGGGAAUAUUGGACAAUGGGCGCAAGCCUGAUCCAGCCAUACCGCGUGGGUGAAGAAGGCCUUCGGGUUGUAAAGCCCUUUUGUUGGGAAAGAAAAGCAGCAGGUUAAUACCCCGCUGUUCUGACGGUACCCAAAGAAUAAGCACCGGCUAACUUCGUG
RNAcentral lists this ribosomal RNA (492 nucleotides) under uncultured bacterium. RNAcentral describes it as "partial 16S ribosomal RNA". It matches the Rfam family "Bacterial small subunit ribosomal RNA", at positions 29 to 507 of the family's 1533-position model. The record is from RNAcentral.